AGCAGCCGCGGUAAUUCCAGCUCCAAUAGCGUAUAUUAAAGUUGUUGCAGUUAAAAAGCUCGUAGUUGAACUUCGGGGUUUACCCAUUGGUCAGGCUUAAUUGUCUGUACUGGUGAGAUAAAUCUCUACCUUCUGAGGAACUUUCAUGCCAUUUAUUUGGUGUGAUGGGAAAUCAGGACUGUUACUUUGAAAAAAUUAGAGUGUUUAAAGCAGGCUAACGUCUGAAUACAUUAGCAUGGAAUAAUGAAAUAGGACGGACUGAUUCUAUUUCGUUGGUUUCUAGGAUCACCGUAAUGAUUAAUAGGGAUAGUUGGGGGCAUUAGUAUUCAAUUGUCAGAGGUGAAAUUCUUGGAUUUAUUGAAGACUAACUACUGCGAAAGCAUUUGCCAAGGAUGUUUUCAUUAAUCAAGAACGAAAGUUAGGGGAUCGAAGACGAUCAGAUACCAUCGUAGUCUUAACCAUAAACUAUGCCGACUAGGGAUCGGACGAAGUUAAUUUUAUAAUUGACGCGUUCGGCACC
This 520-nucleotide ribosomal RNA is filed under the name uncultured Diversispora. RNAcentral describes it as "SSU rRNA". It matches the Rfam family "Eukaryotic small subunit ribosomal RNA", at positions 569 to 1087 of the family's 1831-position model. Lineage: Eukaryota; Fungi; Glomeromycota; Glomeromycetes; Diversisporales; Diversisporaceae. The record is from RNAcentral.